GCGCAAUGGCGUAGCUGACGGAGCACGCCGCGUGAGGGAUGAAGGCCUCUGGGUUGUAAACCUCUUUUCUCAAGGAAGAAGAUCUGACGGUACUUGUGGAAUAAGCCACGGCUCAUUCCGUGCCAGCAGCCGCGGUAAUA
Molecule: ribosomal RNA, 140 nt
Filed under: uncultured bacterium
Lineage: Bacteria
Description: partial 16S ribosomal RNA
Rfam family: Bacterial small subunit ribosomal RNA
Source: RNAcentral